Molecule: ribosomal RNA, 482 nt
Filed under: uncultured bacterium
Lineage: Bacteria
Description: partial 16S ribosomal RNA
Rfam family: Bacterial small subunit ribosomal RNA
Source: RNAcentral
AUUGAACGCUGGCGGCAUGCUUUACACAUGCAAGUCGAACGAAAACACGCCGCGCGGUGCUGACGAGCGGUGGACGGGGGCGUAAUGCUACCGAACGUGCCCCGUCCUUGUGGGUCUCUAAUCGCAACGGGAGACAGUACCUCAUACGAUCUAUGGUUUUAAGCCGGGGAGUGUAAUGGCUCGAGCCGUUGGUGCUGCCGCUUACAGAUUGGUUAGUUGGUGGGGUAAAGGCUCACCAAGUCAACGAUUUGUAGCUGAUCUGAGCGGACGAUCGGCCACACUGGGACUGAGACACGGUCCAGACUCCUACGGGAGGCAGCAGUGGGGAAUCUUGGGCAAUGGGCGCAAGCCUGACCCAGCAAUGCCGCGUGCGUGAAGAAGGCCUUCGGGUUGUAAACUUCUUUUGUACGGAACGAACCGGCUCUGGUUAAUACCCGGAGGUAAUGACGGUACCGAAAGAAAAAGCACCGGCUAACUACGUG